ACAUGGUGGGGUUAUAAAGUUGCUGGAAACAUGGCUAAGUUUCUAUUUUUUUCAAAGUUUCAGGAAAAAGUAGCGGCAAGAUUCCCUCUUUUUUUUUCGAAAUCACUCUUUUUAUUGCCACCUAUAUUUAGUUUUCCCCUAUUUUCCCUCCUCAUAUCUUAUUAUAUGCACUUCAUACCCCAAUCAAACCCAUGCCUAAGUAAAAUCUUCUAUAUUUUCAUCCUCUCUCUCUCUCUCUCUCUGUGUGUGUGUGUGCGCGCGCGUGUGUGUUUUCUCCAAAAAACAAUUUAUUGAUUUAAUACCAUAGAAGAUCAAAUCUAGGAUGAUAAACAUCUUAAGACAAGAGGUUAACUACUCAGAAUUUUAUAUCUCUUGGUCUGAAUUCUUGUGGUCGUAGCCAAAGAAGAAUUGGAGUAGAUAAAGAUGAAAAUUUAUUCAAGAGUGAAGUUAUUAGCACUAGCAUUUGGGGAAGCAACAUACUUUAUUCUUUUCUUAAAAUUUAUAUUCAUGUAUUUCAAUUGGACUUUGUGUUAGAUAAAUUUUACUUUAUUUAUGUGUUUUAAUUUAAGGAGUUUGU
This is a non-coding RNA of Nicotiana tabacum (common tobacco), 577 nucleotides long. The record is from RefSeq and is a predicted model, not a curated record. NCBI's taxonomy places the organism in Eukaryota, Viridiplantae, Streptophyta, Magnoliopsida, Solanales, Solanaceae.